RNAcentral lists this ribosomal RNA (771 nucleotides) under uncultured bacterium. RNAcentral's name for it is "bacterial SSU rRNA". It matches the Rfam family "Bacterial small subunit ribosomal RNA", at positions 8 to 797 of the family's 1533-position model. The record is from RNAcentral.
AGAGUUUGAUCAUGGCUCAGGAUAAACGCUGGCGGCGUGCUUCAGGCAUGCAAGUCGAACGAGCUUCAGGGCUUCGGCCCUGAAGCGAGUGGCGGACGGGUGAGUAACACGUAAGUAACCUGCCCAAAAGUGGGGAAUAACCCGCCGAAAGGCGAGCUAAUACCGCAUGUGGUGGCUCUUCCCUGGAGGGGUCACAAAAGGCUUCGGUCGCUUUUGGAGGGGCUUGCGGCUGAUUAGCUAGUUGGUGGGGUAACGGCCUACCAAGGCAACGAUCGGUAGCUGGUCUGAGAGGACGGUCAGCCACACGGGGACUGAGAUACGGCCCCGACUCCUACGGGGGGCAGCAGCUAGGAAUCUUGGGAAUGGGCGAAAGCCUGACCCAGCAACGCCGCGUGGGCGAUGAAGGCCUUCGGGUCGUAAAGCCCUUUUGCAGGGGAAGAUGAUGACGGUACCCUGCGAAUAAGCCACGGCUAACUACGUGCCAGCAGCCGCGGUAAUACGUAGGUGGCAAGCGUUGUCCGGAUUUACUGGGCGUAAAGGGCGUGCAGGCGGUCUGUUAAGUCUAGGGUGAAAGCUCCCGGCUCAACUGGGAGAGGUCCUUGGAUACUGGCGGACUUGAGGGAGGCAGAGGAGAGUGGAAUUCCCGGUGUAGUGGUGAUAUGCGUAGAUAUCGGGAGGAACACCAGUGGCGAAGGCGGCUCUCUGGGCCUUACCUGACGCUGAGACGCGAAAGCGUGGGGAGCGAACCGGAUUAGAUACCCGGGUAGUCCA